CGGUGAGUGGACAGUGGCAGACGGGUGAGUAACGCGUGGGAAUUUACCCAAAGGUACGGGACAACCAUUGGAAACGAUGGCUAAUACCGUAUGUGCCCCUUCGGGGGGAAAGAUUCAUCGCCUUUGGAUGAGCCCGCGUUGGAUUAGCUUGUUGGUGAGGUAAAGGCUCACCAAGGCGACGAUCUAUAGCUGGUCUGAGAGGACGAUCAGCCACACUGGGACUGAGACACGGCCCAG
Molecule: ribosomal RNA, 237 nt
Filed under: uncultured bacterium
Lineage: Bacteria
Description: partial 16S ribosomal RNA
Rfam family: Bacterial small subunit ribosomal RNA
Source: RNAcentral